CUCCGCGCUCAGCACGCGGGGUAGGGUCCCGCGCUCAGCACGCGGGGGUAGGUCCCGCGCUCGGCGCGGGAUGGUUCCGCGCUCAGCGCGCGGGGU
RNAcentral lists this transfer RNA (96 nucleotides) under Mycobacterium tuberculosis. Its description in RNAcentral is "tRNA-Ser(cag)". The record is from RNAcentral. Lineage: Bacteria; Bacillati; Actinomycetota; Actinomycetes; Mycobacteriales; Mycobacteriaceae.